RNAcentral lists this long non-coding RNA (6113 nucleotides) under Sus scrofa (pig). RNAcentral describes it as "lncRNA (ENSSSCG00040014875.1)". Lineage: Eukaryota; Metazoa; Chordata; Mammalia; Artiodactyla; Suidae. The record is from RNAcentral.
AUACAGAAGGAGAAAAAAGAGAGAGAUGGAGGCAUUUUUGUGUCCCAACUUGGGCAGGUGAAACUUGAAACUUUUACUUUUAGUUCAUGACAGGAAAACUUCCCUACACGGAGUUCCCUGGUGGCACAGCAGGUUAAGGACCCAGUGCUGUCACUGCUAUGGCUUGAGUUGGAUCCCUGGCCCUAGAACAACUCUGCAUGCUUUGGGCAUGGCCAACAAAAUAAAACAAACAACAAAACAAAACAAAAAACAGAAACAGAAGAAAUUCCCUCCAGCAGGGGACUGACCCAGAUCCCAGUGGCAGCAGGGUGACAUCAUACCUAAACAUCAAUCCGAUGGAACAGGAAGGAUUUGAGAUCUAUAACCAAAUUACUACCUUGGAACUUUGUGCUUGUUAUGCUAAUAUAAGGACUUCCGUACUACAAGUAUGUUUUCAGAGCUGGAAAUUAGCUUUUUAGAAUGCUUUGUGUAAUGACAGACAUUGGACAGAGGAGACAAAUGUGCCAGCAAUGGUGGUACAAUACUCCUGGCAAACACCCUGGACUAUUUUAACAGAUAAAUGGACACCCAGAUAGUAUGUUCAUAAAAUUAAUCUGAGAGCAAGCUCGGGGGACUGGGUGAGAAAACAGGUGCUGCCAGAUCACUGCCGUGGUGAAGGUGCUCUUGCAACCCCCCACCUUUUCUUUCAGACUUAGUUGAUUAGCACCAUCCAUUUCUUGUCCCUCCGGGUAGAUAGAUGCCUAGGGAGAAACAUAAGAGAAAAGCAUUUCUUUUUUCUUUCUCAUGUGUCUUUUUAGGGCCGCACCUGUGGCAUAUGGAAGUUCCCAGGCUAGGGGUCAAAUCUGAGCUGCAGCUGCCAGCCUGCACCACAGUCACAGUCACAGCCACAGCCACAGCCACAACAACACAGGAUCAGAGUGAAGUCUGUGACCUACAGCACAGCUAAUGUCAAUGCAGGAUCCUUAACCCACUGAGCUAGGCCAGGGAUUGAGCCCGAAACCUCACAGAUACUAGUCGGGUUCAUUACUGCUGAGCCACAUUGGGAACUAAAUAGAGAAGUAUUUCAUAAAUAGUACUGCAAACACACUGCUACCUCCAGCUAAUGGUUUGUGUACUCUUAAACUUAGACUGAAGACAGUAAGGGAAAGAAAUAUUUUCAAUGAGGGGUUGGAGGUGGAGUGGGGGGGUAUGUAAGUAUAGGGAGAAAUUAACAACUUAAAAUUUUAGAGCCGUGUAUACAUUGGGGUUGUCCAAUAUAUCUCCUGUGUCCAGUGUAUCAUACUCUGCACUGUGAUUAAGAAUUCAGGCAAAUCCUCAAAAUUGUGGCAUUGACCUCAUGUGGUUUAUGUCUUGAGAGUCAAGGCUAAGAUAUUGAAGGCACCAUAUUUCUAAAUAAUAAUAAUAAUAAUUAUAACAAUUAGUUCAGUGUAUAAGGCUGGGAUAAGAGCAAUCAUUUCUCAUAAUUGUAAAUAAGGUAAAUUCACACACUGAACAAGUACUCAAGAAGAGAACUCUUUUUUAUCAGUUACCUGCUCUUUAUAGACAGCUUGGUUAUUGUGUGCCUAUUUCUUCUCCUCCAGCUCCCCGCCUUCCCCCGCUGCUACCCACUAUGACAGUUACUUUAGAAAUAAGUGACUUGGUUCCUGGAUGGAUUUCCAGCCCUUCUGCAUGACACAGGUUCCAAAUGUCAAAUUGCAACUAUGGAGAAGCCUGUGAACUAUGAUAAUGGAUAAACUCGUGUGUGUUAACAGUCCUGUUUGGUGCUAGAGCAGGGUUGCCAAGACAUAGUCUGAAUGAGUUGGGGGUUUCUGAGAUCUUGUAAAAUGAGGCCAAUUUGAAAUGUUGGCACUGAAUGCUGAGCUUUUUAUAAUAGCCCACGUUGUCCCAUUUUCUUCUAGAGUUGAAUAGGAACAAAAUACCUGGCUUCAUGCAGUGGUUCUCUGAUGACAAAUGAACUAAUUAGAGGUGGUGUUUCUUAGUUCAUCCCAAAGAUCUUAGCCUAGCCGUGGAAGAUGUGGGAAAUGCAGGCUCUGAUAGCUUUAGUUUUAGAAAAGACAACUUUUAACAUCUGAAACUGUCUCCCCUAGCUCUCUACUAUCUGAUCCCCUCUAGCAUUUUCUUUGUAUAGAUGGGUCCAGGUAGGCUAAGGGUAACUGUACUAUUUAAUACAUUAACUCAAUGACAGAGCAAAUCUAUUAAACAGAUUACCUUUCACCUUUGGUGUGUAAAGAAGUCUUCGUAUGCCAAGGUCAUGAGGCCUCUUAGCAAAGUUCCUGUGAGAGAAAUUAACAUUUUUAUCACAUAAUCUAAUCUAUCAAGUGGAGUAGAUUCCAAGGUAAGUCCAUCUAGUACUGCUUUUUUUUUUUUUCCUUUAAAAAAGGCCAGCAGUGAAAGAAGUCAUUGAAUUAAAAGUGCUAUAUGAAAAAUAAAAGGGGAGAGAAUACAGAUAAGGAAGGUUUACAUCUUCAUGCUCUUGUAGGAUAUGGCAGUAUUUGUAGGUGGCAGAUUGUAGAGAGAAGGCCAUAAAGGCAACUACAGUGACAUUGAGGCAGAGAAAAAGCUUGCUGGAGAUUAUGGGUUCCUGUUACUUAUGAUCAGAUGCCUUUCAGUUACUUUUGAGGUGAAGGAUUUAUACACUGCAGAAAUCCUGAUCACAUUGAUGGGAAUGAUGUGGGACUUCAAAGGAUAGGUUUUGAAGUUGUUGGACAUUUAGUUUCAGAUUUCCAUCUCCAAAACUCAAAUCUGAAUUGCUCAUUGGUUCAGAGAGGAAAAUGCUUAAUUUGAAAUUCUGUCAUAAACUCUGUGAGAGCAGACAAACUUAGAUGAGCUUAGAAAUAGCUUUGAAUCCCAAAUCUCAAUACCGUUAUACUACUUGAUUAUAGAAGAAAACGGGACCACCUGUCUCUAACAAGGAGAGACGCCUAUUGGAAAUAUCUCAGCAUGUGCGUUCUCAGCCCAUGAUAGAGAACAUGACAUUUAAGCCGUAUGGAUAGUUCUGGUCUCAUGUCAUCUAAACAUCACAUUUUUCAAACUCAGAAAUGCCAGAUCGUGUUAUUUCUGCGGCAAGGCGUUGCUUAGGAUCUGUGACAGAUGAGUUUUCCCUAUCGAUUAUGUGACAAUGCAGUUCAUUUAUAGAGUUCAAGGAAAUGAGAACAGCCUCCAGUUUAACAAGAAGACCCUUAAUUCAAGGGCUGUGUUGUAUUUAAAUGCAGAAAUCAAAAUUCAAGUUGGAGAAAGUGGAAGAGUGAAUUUAACUGUGAACGCGAACUUUUAUAGCUCAGUCAUCCUCCUUGGAGGGCUGCAACUGAUCACUGAAUCUGAUGCCUUCUGAUUAGGUGACUGAUUUGUAAAUAAACCAUGCAAGAAAUCAUAUCUUACAUAGAGAAUUCAUCUUUACAUCAAUGUACACAUUUAAAGUUGCUCCUAAUGUAAAACAUGUAGUGAAUCCAAAAUGUAAAAAACAAAGGGCACCCUAGCGAGUCUAUGUGCAUAUGGGGAGGAGGGGCUGUUAAUAGAGAUACCAACCUGAAAACACUUUGAAAGAACUUUCCAGAUUUAUCUUAAAUUCUGAAAUGAUUUAAUAUGCACAUGUUCUUCCAAUGUAUCCACAGGGUACAGACAGGCAUGCAGAAGUAACUAGACGUCCAACACAUGCCAAGGUCUUGCGGGCCCAGGAUUUCGAACAAAAGAAAACUCGGUAACGUGACUGUAAAUCAAGGGCAUUUGAGACCAUAGACGCGCGCACCACUGCAAGGGUUAAUUGGAGGAGAGGGAAGAGAGAGGCUCCACCUUGCAGUCUGUGUGAACUUCGGCCAGAAAAAGAGCUGGAGCUCCAGCCGCCGCCGGUGGGAGCCCUGCAGUCCGCGGCACGCGGUCCCUUGUUGUGGGGCAGGUGUGGCGCCGGGUAGAGGCGGGGCGCAACCUGGAAACUGCCGCCUGAGCUGUGGCCCGCGCCCUGCCUACCCUUUGGCGCAUCUGUUUCUUUAUUGCCUGAAAGCCAUCCGACGCGUUGAAGGCGCGAUUAUCGACAAUUUGUCAGCCCGAUUUUGUCGCUUGCAAUAACUUUUGGUGAAGUUUCACUCUCAGGCCCUUGAGUUUCGGGAUGAGGAAAUGUGGUAUGAGAGCAUUGUCCUGUGUUUGGCUUCUCAUUUCCACAGGACCCAGGCAGGCAGAAGAAGGGAAAAGAAAGUUAAUCCGACUGCAGUCACUCUGGCACACAAGCCAUGGGGAAACGGGAGAGAAACUUGUUCCUUCUCCUACAAAACUCUCCCCUUCCCCCUCAAGCCCCUCCCCCCACCAGGUCCUUUUUAAUAGAUCAGUCCCUCAUCUCCCCCCCCCUCCACACACGUAUUCUUGGGCCCACAAUUCUCUUGAGCAACCUAGGACUGAGUUUUUGUGUUUUGUUUGUUUUGCUUCCUUUUUCCUUUGUGUUUGUGGAUGUGGAUUGUUUUUCAGGGACCAGGGGCCAGGACCGCAGCUCUAAACCUGAACCGUUCACCUUCAUGAUCCCUUUCUUCCCCUCUUCUUGAUUGGUGGCUGUCGUGGCCAAGACCAUGCCCUUUCCUGAGCAUGGAGCAGUGGGGCAGCUGCUCUGAAGCAGCUGCUGUGCCUUACCCCUCUUUUCUCAAUCAUUAAAAUUCAAUUUCAAAAUUUCUGUCUUUAACAAUUUCCUAAGGAGACUAUGAAGAAUGCCAAAAGAGUGGGCCUUUUUUCAAGUGGUCAUGUUUCAGCAAAAGGCAGGCACAGUCCAAGUUGCCCUAGGUUGUGCCCUUAUAGGAGCAGGGCAGUGGAUGUUGUGUAAAAUGGAGUGCUGUGCCCACCUUGAACGAGAGACGAGCUCUGGCAGGUCAAGAACCUGGGGAGAGCAACUCCAGCUUUUCCAUCCACAUCACCCCUGCAGCUUGAUGGAGCACAGCACCAAGCAGGAAGUUCUCAUUUUUUUUUUUUUUUUUAAUGUCCACACCCAUGACAUACAGAAGUUUCUGGCCCAGGGAUUGAAUCUAAGUUUCAGCUAUGACCUAUGUGGCAGCUAUAGCAAUGCCAGAUCCCUUAACCCGCUGCACCAAGCUGGGGAUCAAACCCUCACCUCUGCAGCAACCCAAGCUGCUGCAGUUAGAUUUUUAACCCACUGCACCACAGCUGGAACUCUGGGGAAGUUCUCUUUAAUAGUUCCUCACUUUCUUCCUUGAUCCAAAAAGAAAAAUAUUUGUAUUCGGAAAGUUCUCUUCUGCUAAGAAGUUUCUAUUAACAUCUCUUUCUCCUUUCAGUGAAGUCUGUUUCUGGGUCAAGGGGAGUGUUUUAAGAAACAGAAAAAUAGAGACACACACAUAACUGCAAUAGGUAGCUGAACUUCAUCAGGAGCCUUGAGUAGCCAAGAAAACAUUCUUCUGAUGCAACUUCAGAGUUUCAUCCCCUGCUCCAAAAUUUAUCAUGUAAUUAGUACCCAAAAUGCCUCCUUUAACCAACACCCAUUGCAACCUAUGGAAAAGAUGUAGCAUUUUUUUUUUGAAAUUCUAGAUGGACCUAAGGAUUACCUGACUCCUAUUGCCAUCACCUCUUAAUCACACAAAACUGUUUUCCUAAACACCAACCUUUUUCCCUAUAAAAACCACUGACCCCUCAGUAUACCUAGUACCUUUUUUCCUCCCUUUAAAUUAUUAUUCCUUACUCUUUUCUGUUCUGGGGCCCUGAGCCAGAUUCUCAGAAUUAAUCCUGAGUUCUCCCAAAUGCCAUGACAAGUUAGAAGGGAAAUUGGGGGACUGCACUGAAAAUACAUGGUAUAGAGAGUAAAUGUUACAGCUGUUGACAAGUGGCAGUUUGGGGUAUCAGCAAUGAAUUCCACAUUUUUCUAUAGGCUUCUUUUUACUUCACUUUAGGAUCCACUGAUCCUAAUAGAAACAAGUUAAAACUGCAGUUCCCUUCGUGGCGCAGUGGUUAACGAAUCCGACUAGUAACCAUGAGGUUGUGGGUUUGAUCCCUGGCCUUGCUCAGUGGGUUAAGGAUCCGGCGUUGCUGUGAGCUGUGGUGUAGGCCGGUGGCUGCAGCUCCGAUUAGACCCCUAGCUUGGGAAUCUCCAUAUGCCCCUGGAGCAGCCAUAGAAAAGGCAAAAAGAC